GUGUCAGCAGCCGCGGUAAAACGUAGGAGGCGAGCGUUAUCCGGAUUUACUGGGCGUAAAGCGCGCGCAGGCGGCUUAGUAAGUUGGACGUGAAAGCUCCUGGCUUAACUGGGAGAGGUCGUUCGAAACUGCUAGGCUUGAGGUUGGGAGAGGGGUGUAGAAUUCCCGGUGUAGUGGUGGAAUGCGUAGAUAUCGGGAGGAACACCAGUGGCGAAGGCGGCACCCUGGCCCACACCUGACGCUGAGGUGCGAAAGCGUGGGUAGCAAACAGGAUUAGAAACCCUCGUAGUCC
Molecule: ribosomal RNA, 292 nt
Filed under: uncultured bacterium
Lineage: Bacteria
Description: partial 16S ribosomal RNA
Rfam family: Bacterial small subunit ribosomal RNA
Source: RNAcentral